GAUCAAGCUACUAAGGGCGUAGGGUGGAUGCCUUGGCGAAAGACGGCGAUGAAGGACGUGGUUAGCUGCGAUAAGCUUCGGGGAGUUGCUAAACAAACUUUGAUCCGGAGAUUUCCGAAUGGGACAACCCGGCUACACGUAAGUGUGGUCAUCUCGAGUAAUCGAGAAGCAAACGAAGGGAAUUGAAACAUCUUAGUACCUUCAGGAAAAUAAAGAAACCUCGAUUCCGAAAGUAGUGGCGAGCGAAAUCGGAACAGCCUAAACGAAAUGGACGUGAUAGCUUGCAGGCGUUUUCCAUUUCGAGUUGCGAGACGUGGCAGCUUCUUACUGCAAUGAGAAGGAAGAGUUACAAAUCAAUUUUAUAGAUGAACGGUAUGGAAAGGCCGGCCAUAGAAGGUGAUAGCCCUUUAAUCGAAAUAAAAUUGACUCUUUGUGCUGUGUUCUCAAGUACCACGGGGCACGUGAAACCCUGUGGGAACCUGGAAGGACCAUCUUCCAAGGCUAAAUACGUGCUUUCGACCGAUAGUGAACUAGUACCGUGAGGGAAAGGUGAAAAGAACCCGGGAACGGGAGUGAAAAGAAUCUGAAACCCUAUGUCUACAGUCAAUGGAAGCACUAUGCCCGUAAGGGAAUGUGCGACCGUGUGCCUUUUGCAUAAUGAGCCAGCGAGUUAUUGUAUGUAGCAAGGUUAAGCCGAAUCAGGUGAAGCCGAAGCGAAAGCGAGUCUGAAUAGGGCGAUUUAGUUGCAUAUAAUAGACCCGAAACCUAGUGAUCUACCCUUGGUCAGGAUGAAGUGCCGGUAACACGGCAUGGAGGUCCGAACUCGUAACCGUUGAAAAGGUUUGGGAUGAACUGAGGGUAGGGGUGAAAGGCUAAUCAAACUGGGAGAUAGCUGGUUCUCCCCGAAAUAUAUUGAGGUAUAGCCUCGUAUUAUAAGUGACGGAGGUAGAGCACUCGAUGGGCUAGGGGAGUGAAAACUUUACCAAACCCAACGAAACUCCGAAUGCCGUCAUCUUCUAUUACGGGAGUCAGACAGUGGGGGAUAAACUUCAUUGUCGAAAGGGAAAGAGCCCAGACCGCCAGCUAAGGCCCCCAAAUCGAUACUAAGUGGGAAAGGAUGUGGAAACGCACAGACAGCCAGGAGGUUGGCUUAGAAGCAGCCAUCCUUUAAAGAAAGCGUAACAGCUCACUGGUCAAGUGAGUCCGCGCCGAAAAUGUAACGGGGCUAAAGUAUCGUGCCGAAGCUGCGGAUGUACCAAAAUUUGCGAAUUUUAGUACGUGGUAGGGGAGUAUUCCAACGCCGGUGAAGGUAUAUCGUAAGAAAUACUGGAGGUUUUGGAAGAGCUUCUGCUGGCAUAAGUAGCGAAAAUGCUGAUGAGAAAUCAGCACGCCGUAAGCCUAAGGUUUCCUGGGGAAGGUUAAUCCGCCCAGGGUUAGUCGGCACCUAAGUCGAGGCCCAAAGGCGUAGACGAUGGAAGACAGGUUAAUAUUCCUGUAUUAUUCUUGUUGUGUUUGAUGCCGAGGAGUGACGGAGAAGGGUAGAUCAGUCUCGUGUUGGAAUACGAGAUUUAAGCUUGUAGGAUGAUUGAGCAGGCAAAUCCACUCGAUUAUAUCUGAGAAGCGAAUACGAAGUCCCGGUAACGGGACGCAAAGUGAUUGAUCCCAUGCUUCCAAGAAAAACUUCGCGGCUAAUGGCAAGAGUAGCCGUACCGCAAACGGACACACGUAGGCGAGGAGAAGAUCCUAAGGCGCUUGAGAUAACUCUGGCUAAGGAACUCUGCAAAUUCACACCGUAACUUCGGAAGAAGGUGUGCCUCACUUUGUGAAAGGGUUUACCCCUCGAGCAUUGUGUGGUCGCAGUGAAUCGGGAGCAGCGACUGUUUAACAAAAACACAGGACUCUGCAAAGUCGUGAAGACGACGUAUAGGGUCUGACGCCUGCCCGGUGCCGGAAGGUUAAGGGGAGUUGUUAGGUCUUCGGACCAAAGCUCCGAACCGAAGCCCCGGUAAACGGCGGCCGUAACUAUAACGGUCCUAAGGUAGCGAAAUUCCUUGUCGGGUAAGUUCCGACCUGCACGAAUGGCGUAACGACUGCUCCGCUGUCUUGGCCGGCGACUCAGCGAAAUUGUAUUGGAGGCGCAGAUGCCUUCGACCCGCGGAAAGACGGAAAGACCCUGUGCACCUUUACUAUAACUUGGCAGUGAACUUCGGGCCAGUCUGUGUAGGAUAGGUGGGAGACUUUGAAGCCGGUGCGCUAGCAUCGGUGGAGUCAACCUUGAAAUACCACCCUGAUUAUUCUGGAGUUCUAACUUGAGUGAGUGAAUCCUCACUAAGGACACUGUCUGGUGGGUAGUUUGACUGGGGCGGUCGCCUCCCAAAAAGUAACGGAGGCGUGCGAAGGUUCCCUCAGGCUGAUUAGAAACCAGCCGUCGAGUGCAAAAGCAGAAGGGAGCUUGACUGCGAGACUUACAAGUCGAGCAGGUGCGAAAGCAGGCUUUAGUGAUCCGGUGGUUCUGUAUGGAAGGGCCAUCGCUCAUCGGACAAAAGGUACGCCGGGGAUAACAGGCUGAUGAUUUCCAAGAGUUCACAUCGACGAAAUCGUUUGGCACCUCGAUGUCGGCUCAUCGCAUCCUGGGGCUGGAGUAGGUCCCAAGGGUUUGGCUGUUCGCCAAUUAAAGCGGUACGCGAGCUGGGUUCAGAACGUCGUGAGACAGUUCGGUCCCUAUCUUCCGUGGGCGCAGGAAAUUUGAGAGGAUCUAACCUUAGUACGAGAGGACCGGGUUGGACGGACCUCUAGUGUUCCGGUUGUCACGCCAGUGGCAUAAGCCGGGUAGCUACGUCCGGAUCAGAUAAGCGCUGAAAGCAUAUAAGUGCGAAACUGACCUCAAGAUAAGAUUUCCCAAUCCCAUAAGGGGUAUGAAGACCACUCGAAGACUACGAGGUUGAUAGGCCAGGUGUGUAAGCAUCGUAAGGUGUUUAGCUGACUGGUACUAAUUGGUCGUUCGGCUUGAUCUU
RNAcentral lists this ribosomal RNA (3014 nucleotides) under Deltaproteobacteria bacterium. RNAcentral describes it as "23S ribosomal RNA". It matches the Rfam family "Bacterial large subunit ribosomal RNA". The record is from RNAcentral. Lineage: Bacteria; Pseudomonadati; Myxococcota; Myxococcia.